GAUGAACGCUGGCGGCGUGCCUAAUACAUGCAAGUCGAGCGAACGGACGAGAAGCUUGCUUCUCUGAUGUUAGCGGCGGACGGGUGAGUAACACGUGGAUAACCUACCUAUAAGACUGGGAUAGCUUCGGGAAACCGGAGCUAAUACCGGAUAAUAUUUUGAACCGCAUGGUUCAAAAGUGAAAGACGGUCUUGCUGUCACUUAUAGAUGGAUCCGCGCUGCAUUAGCUAGUUGGUAAGGUAACGGCUUACCAAGGCAACGAUGCACAGCCGACCUGAGAGGGUGAUCGGCCACACUGGAACUGAGCCACGGUCCAGACUCCUACGGGAGGCAGCAGUAGGGAAUCUUCCGCAAUGGGCGAAAGCCUGACGGAGCAACGCCGCGUGAGUGAUGAAGGUCUUCGGAUCGUAAAACUCUGUUAUUAGGGAAGAACAUAUGUGUAAGUAACUGUGCACAUCUUGACGGUACCUAAUCAGAAAGCCACGGCUAACUACGUG
This 497-nucleotide ribosomal RNA is filed under the name uncultured bacterium. Its description in RNAcentral is "partial 16S ribosomal RNA". It matches the Rfam family "Bacterial small subunit ribosomal RNA", at positions 28 to 507 of the family's 1533-position model. The record is from RNAcentral.